Molecule: ribosomal RNA, 478 nt
Filed under: uncultured bacterium
Lineage: Bacteria
Description: partial 16S ribosomal RNA
Rfam family: Bacterial small subunit ribosomal RNA
Source: RNAcentral
GACGAACGCUGGCGGCGUGCUUAACACAUGCUAGUCGAACGGUAAGGCCCUUCGGGGUACACGAGUGGCGAACGGGUGAGUAACACGUGGGUGAUCUGCCCUGCACUUCGGGAUAAGCCUGGGAAACUGGGUCUAAUACCGGAUAGGACCACUGCCUGCCUGGGGGGUGGUGGAAAGCCUUUGCGGUGUGGGAUGGGCCCGCGGCCUAUCAGCUUGUUGGUGGGGUGAUGGCCUACCAAGGCGACGACGGGUAGCCGGCCUGGGAGGGUGACCGGCCACACUGGGACUGAGAUACGGCCCAGACUCCUACGGGAGGCAGCAGUGGGGAAUAUUGCACAAUGGGCGCAAGCCUGAUGCAGCGACGCCGCGUGAGGGAUGACGGCCUUCGGGUUGUAAACCUCUUUCAGCACCGACGAAGCGCAAGUGACGGUAGGUGCAGAAGAAGGACCGGCCAACUACGUGCCAGCAGCCGCCGUAA